Molecule: ribosomal RNA, 479 nt
Filed under: uncultured bacterium
Lineage: Bacteria
Description: bacterial SSU rRNA
Rfam family: Bacterial small subunit ribosomal RNA
Source: RNAcentral
AUUGAACGCUGGCGGCAUGCUUUACACAUGCAAGUCGAACGGUAACAGGUUAAGCUGACGAGUGGCGAACGGGUGAGUAAUGCAUCGGAACGUGCCCGAUCGUGGGGGAUAACGCAGCGAAAGCUGCGCUAAUACCGCAUACGAUCUGAGGAUGAAAGCGGGGGACCGUAAGGCCUCGCGCGAUCGGAGCGGCCGAUGUCAGAUUAGGUAGUUGGUGGGGUAAAGGCUCACCAAGCCGACGAUCUGUAGCUGGUCUGAGAGGACGACCAGCCACACUGGGACUGAGACACGGCCCAGACUCCUACGGGAGGCAGCAGUGGGGAAUUUUGGACAAUGGGCGCAAGCCUGAUCCAGCAAUGCCGCGUGCAGGAAGAAGGCCUUCGGGGUGUAAAGUUCUUUUAUAUGUGAGCAGUGCUUCUUAUAUUAACAGUAUGGGGAGAGAGAUAUUAGCAUAUGAAUAAGCAACGGCUAACUCCGUG